UGCAGUCGAACGAUGAAGCUUCUAGCUUGCUAGAAGUGGAUUAGUGGCGCACGGGUGAGUAAGGUAUAGUUAAUCUGCCCUACACAAGAGGACAACAGUUGGAAACGACUGCUAAUACUCUAUACUCCUGCUUAACACAAGUUGAGUAGGGAAAGUUUUUCGGUGUAGGAUGAGACUAUAUAGUAUCAGCUAGUUGGUAAGGUAAUGGCUUACCAAGGCUAUGACGCUUAACUGGUCUGAGAGGAUGAUCAGUCACACUGGAACUGAGACACGGUCCAGACUCCUACGGGAGGCAGCAGUAGGGAAUAUUGCGCAAUGGGGGAAACCCUGACGCAGCAACGCCGCGUGGAGGAUGACACUUUUCGGAGCGUAAACUCCUUUUCUUAGGGAAGAAUUCUGACGGUACCUAAGGAAUAAGCACCGGCUAACUCCGUGCCAGCAGCCGCGGUAAUACGGAGGGUGCAAGCGUUACUCGGAAUCACUGGGCGUAAAGGGCGCGUAGGCGGAUUAUCAAGUCUCUUGUGAAAUCUAAUGGCUUAACCAUUAAACUGCUUGGGAAACUGAUAGUCUAGAGUGAGGGAGAGGCAGAUGGAAUUGGUGGUGUAGGGGUAAAAUCCGUAGAUAUCACCAAGAAUACCCAUUGCGAAGGCGAUCUGCUGGAACUCAACUGACGCUAAGGCGCGAAAGCGUGGGGAGCAAACAGGAUUAGAUACCCUGGUAGUCCACGCCCUAAACGAUGUACACUAGUUGUUGGGGUGCUAGUCAUCUCAGUAAUGCAGCUAACGCAUUAAGUGUACCGCCUGGGGAGUACGGUCGCAAGAUUAAAACUCAAAGGAAUAGACGGGGACCCGCACAAGCGGUGGAGCAUGUGGUUUAAUUCGAAGAUACGCGAAGAACCUUACCUGGGCUUGAUAUCCUAAGAACCUUUUAGAGAUAAGAGGGUGCUAGCUUGCUAGAACUUAGAGACAGGUGCUGCACGGCUGUCGUCAGCUCGUGUCGUGAGAUGUUGGGUUAAGUCCCGCAACGAGCGCAACCCACGUAUUUAGUUGCUAACGGUUCGGCCGAGCACUCUAAAUAGACUGCCUUCGUAAGGAGGAGGAAGGUGUGGACGACGUCAAGUCAUCAUGGCCCUUAUGCCCAGGGCGACACACGUGCUACAAUGGCAUAUACAAUGAGACGCAAUACCGCGAGGUGGAGCAAAUCUAUAAAAUAUGUCCCAGUUCGGAUUGUUCUCUGCAACUCGAGAGCAUGAAGCCGGAAUCGCUAGUAAUCGUAGAUCAGCCAUGCUACGGUGAAUACGUUCCCGGGUCUUGUACUCACCGCCCGUCACACCAUGGGAGUUGAUUUCACUCGAAGCCGGAAUACUAAACUAGUUACCGUCCACAGUGGAAUCAGCGACUGGGG
This 1404-nucleotide ribosomal RNA is filed under the name Campylobacter jejuni. Its description in RNAcentral is "bacterial SSU rRNA". It matches the Rfam family "Bacterial small subunit ribosomal RNA". The record is from RNAcentral. Lineage: Bacteria; Pseudomonadati; Campylobacterota; Epsilonproteobacteria; Campylobacterales; Campylobacteraceae.